UCCGGUUGAUCCUGCCGGACCCCACUGCUAUCGGGAUGGGACUAAGACAUGCUAGUCGUGCGCCUCCAAGCCACGGUGGAGGCGGGGCGCACAGCUCAGUAACACGUGGCUAACCUACCCUUGGGACGGAAACAACCCCGGGAAACUGGGGCUAAUUUCCGAUAGGUGAAGACUCCUGGAAUGGAUCUUCGCCCAAAGGGCGCUUAGACCAUGCUUCUAAGCGCUGCCCAAGGAUGGGGCCGCGGCCGAUCAGGUUGUUGGUGAGGUAACGGCUCACCAAGCCUAUAACCGGUUCGGGCCGUGGGAGCGGGAGCCCGGAGAUGGGCACUGAGACAAGGGCCCAGGCCCUACGGGGCGCAGCAGUCGCGAAAACUCCGCAAUACGCGACAGCGUGACGGGGCCAUCCCGAGUGCCGUCCGCUGAGGAUGGCUUUUCCCCAGUGUAGAUAGCUGGGGGAAUAAGGAGAGGGCAAGUCUGGUGUCAGCCGCCGCGGUAAUACCAGCUCUCCGAGUGGUGGGGACGUUUAUUGGGCUUAAAGCAUCCGUAGCCGGCUGGGCAAGUCCCCUGUUGAAUCUAACGAUUCAAUCGUUGGAUUGCAGGGGAUACUGCUCGGCUAGGGGGCGGGAGAGGCCGACGGUAUUCCCGGGGUAGGGGUGAAAUCCUAUAAUCCCGGGAGGACCACCAGUGGCGAAGGCUGUCGGCUAGAACGCGCCCGACGGUGAGGGAUGAAAGCUGGGGGAGCGAACCGGAUUAGAUACCCGGGUAGUCCCAGCUGUAAACGAUGCAGGCUAGGUGUUCGGGCGGCCACGUGCCGCUCGAGUGCCGCAGGGAAACCGUUAAGCCUGCCGCCUGGGGAGUACGGCCGCAAGGCUGAAACUUAAAGGAAUUGGCGGGGGAGCACCACAAGGGGUGAAGCUUGCGGUUUAAUUGGAGUCAACGCCGGAAAUCUCACCGGGAGCGACAGCAGAGUGAAGGCCAGAUUAAAGGUCUUGCCGGACGAGCUGAGAGGAGGUGCAUGGCC
RNAcentral lists this ribosomal RNA (1021 nucleotides) under uncultured archaeon. RNAcentral's name for it is "bacterial SSU rRNA". It matches the Rfam family "Archaeal small subunit ribosomal RNA", at positions 1 to 999 of the family's 1478-position model. The record is from RNAcentral.